Molecule: ribosomal RNA, 279 nt
Filed under: uncultured bacterium
Lineage: Bacteria
Description: partial 16S ribosomal RNA
Rfam family: Bacterial small subunit ribosomal RNA
Source: RNAcentral
UGCCAGCCGCCGCGGUAAUACGAAGGGACCUAGCGUAGUUCGGAAUUACUGGGCUUAAAGAGUUCGUAGGUGGUUGAAAGAGUUAGUGGUGAAAUCCCAGAGCUUAACUCUGGAACUGCCAUUAAAACUUUUCAGCUAGAGUAUGAUAGAGGAAAGCAGAAUUUCUAGUGUAGAGGUGAAAUUCGUAGAUAUUAGAAAGAAUACCAAUUGCGAAGGCAGCUUACUAACAAUUAACUGACGCUGAGGGACGAAAGCGUGGGUAGCGAACAGGAUUAGAUA